Long non-coding RNA from Suricata suricatta (meerkat), 271 nucleotides. RefSeq lists it as uncharacterized. The transcript is spliced from 3 exons. NCBI's taxonomy places the organism in Eukaryota, Metazoa, Chordata, Mammalia, Carnivora, Herpestidae. The record is from RefSeq and is a predicted model, not a curated record.
AAGCAAUUAAUAUGAAAAAUACAACAGGUCGAUUACUGAAUGCCACUCUGCUCUUGAUUUAUUCCAAGGCUCUACUUGAAAACAACAUGUACAAAUGGACUGGAAAAUUGCAAAAAGUUUCACAAGUUUAGCAUAAGUGUAGAGAAAUCAAAGCCUGAAGGAUACAUAAAAUGACACAAUCCAUCCUGCAAUGAGAGAAAAUACGCCUCAAGGAACUUCCUAAAAAGAAGCUAAAGAAGCCAGAUAAGAAAAAUAAGAAGAAAGAGGACAC